CUCUGCUGUGUCUCUGCUGAGGAGGACAUGUUAGCCCCUGCCACCUUUGCAUGGUGCUUUUGAUUUUUCUGCUUUCAAGUUCACCAUGAUCCAGUUUGGCCUCAGAUAGUCUGAAAAACACCAUUUCUCAAAAAGCACUUGAACUGCUCCAGGGCAGCUGCAUUGCUGUAUCACACUGGAGGUCUCUCUAUGGCUAUCCAGAGCUUCUGCCCUCAGAGGAG
Molecule: long non-coding RNA, 221 nt
Filed under: Gallus gallus (chicken)
Lineage: Eukaryota; Metazoa; Chordata; Aves; Galliformes; Phasianidae
Source: RNAcentral